Molecule: transfer RNA, 84 nt
Filed under: Schistocerca americana (American grasshopper)
Lineage: Eukaryota; Metazoa; Arthropoda; Insecta; Orthoptera; Acrididae
Description: tRNA-Pro
Rfam family: tRNA
About the family: Transfer RNA (tRNA) molecules are approximately 80 nucleotides in length. Their secondary structure includes four short double-helical elements and three loops (D, anti-codon, and T loops).
Source: RNAcentral
GCCCGUGUGGCCGAGCGGUUCUAGGCGCUUCAGUUUGGAACCGUGCGACAGCUACGGUCGCAGGUUCGAAUCCUGCCUCGGGCA